UAGAGUUUGAUCCUGGCUCAGGAUGAACGCUGGCGGCGUGCCUAACACAUGCAGUCGAACGGAGAUUAGACGCUGCAGAGAUUUCGGUCGAAGCUUGUUUAAUCUUAGUGGCGGACGGGUGAGUAACGCGUGGGCAACCUGCCUCAUACUGGGGGAUAGCAGUUGGAAACGACUGAUAAUACCGCAUAAGCGCACGGUAUCGCAUGAUACAGUGUGAAAAACUCCGGUGGUAUGAGAUGGGCCCGCGUCAGAUUAGCUAGUUGGUAAGGUAACGGCUUACCAAGGCGACGAUCUGUAGCCGGACUGAGAGGUCGGACGGCCACAUUGGGACUGAGACACGGCCCAAACUCCUACGGGAGGCAGCAGUGGGGGAUAUUGCACAAUGGGGGGAAACCCUGAUGCAGCGACGCCGCGUGAGUGAGAAGUAUUUCGGUAUGUAAAGCUCUAUCAGCAGGAAGAAAGGCCACGUAAGUGGAGAUGACGGUACCUGACUAAGAAGCCCCGGCUAACUACGUGCCAGCAGCCGCGGUAAUACGUAGGGGGCAGCGUUAUCCGGAUUUACUGGGGUGUAAAGGGAGCGCAGACGGUAUGGGCAGUCUGAGUGGAAACCCCACGGCUCA
This 620-nucleotide ribosomal RNA is filed under the name uncultured bacterium. RNAcentral describes it as "bacterial SSU rRNA". It matches the Rfam family "Bacterial small subunit ribosomal RNA", at positions 1 to 611 of the family's 1533-position model. The record is from RNAcentral.